UCACAACCAUUGCUCAACUAAACUAUUUACCAGGUAAAGCUCACUGAGCUAUAUAGCUAUUUUUUUUAGAACCGACGUGGCUACCUUAUGAAGGCCGCCUUUGUUUCCCUCGUGGCGAUGUUUACACACCACUCCAGAUAUUAGUUUUAGGCUGAGUCGAUUUAGGGGAGGCACAGGACCCGUUAAAAAAAUCAUCACUGGGUGGUGGUCGUGAACGGAAAUCGAACUGUGGUCGUCGGGGUCGGAGCAGAGCACGCUAACCACUACACUACUGCUGACCCAGAAACAUACGCACACACACACUCGCUCACACACAGCCCUGCUCGUGGCUGUGGUAAAUAACAACACGGCGAUUUUUCCCAGAGAGGAAAUGGAAUUUCUCACCGACCGAGUGACGCAUCUUGCUCGACCGCACGCCCAUUGCUCACAGCGGCUAUCGCGAAGGAGCUGCAGCUUGGAGCAAGACGCGAGCGCAGACAAAGCGAGAGCUACGCAUCCGAGCUCCCAACCAUGAACCACCGCGAAUCCGCCUUCAUCGUAACGGUAAUGGUGGUGGCAGUGCACGUGAUGAACUCAGCAAAAAGCCCCAUUCAGCACAUGGCGGCUGUUGAAGGCGAAGAUGUGCUCCUUAACUGUUCAACAUCGUCCACAAUAUACCGAGUGCGAUGGAGAUAUGGACAGUCUAACACAACGAUAUUAUAUUGUAACAUUCAAUCUAUCACAUCCUGCAACCCACUUCUCUGCUACAUGGUUUUCUCUUGGAACCUGAGCAGUGGAAAUGGCUCCAUCACUCUGAUUUCAGUCCCAGCGAACGCGAGUGGAAUGUACCGCUGUUUUCUGGAAACAACCACAGCUGAUCGUCAUGAGAUGGUUUACAAUUUGACAGUAACUUCUCAAGGUAAUGCCACAAAGCUUGAGAUGUAAUGAAACGUCUGCAUAUAUAAAUUCAUAUUAACCAUUCACUCGAUGUAAAUAAAUUACACACGUUGUGGUUUUAGUUUGUAACAAUUAUAGUGGUGCAUCGAUUAAUAUGUCUGAACAUCACAAAACAUUCAUAUUAUUUGUAUAAGCAAGAAUCGAUUGUUUACCUGCAUGCGUGUGUUCUAUGUAUUCAGCUCACUUUUCUCCGAAGAUACUAGAGGCCGCUUCAUUCACAACAAUGUAAAGAAAAUAGAUUCCAGAAUAAAAUCACAAUCCUUGAAUCGCAACAAUGCAUGAUACUAUUAAUCUUAAUCAUAACAAAUGUGUUUUUUCUCUCUCCCAAUGUUAACUCAGAUGCACUGUAAAAUCUCAAACUAGCUCAGGCAGCUUGGCACCCGAGUUUAAAUCAUUGCUUGGGGAGGGGAACUCAGCUAUCAUCCUUCAAAGGGUUGACUAAAUGAGAACUACUUUGUGGGGAAAUAAAUUAAUAUUUAUAUAUUUUUAAGGAGGGCCACGGUGGCGAGAUGUUAUCUUCGUCGAAGGUUGAAUCUUGACCCUGACACCUGCUGCUGUAUAUUUGGAGUUUGCGUCCCUCUCAAUCUCCGUAGUAGCUUUGAUUUUUUCCGGGUACCUCCACAUGCAAAUCAACAUCACACGUUUAGAUAACUGGCUGCUAUAAAUUCCCAAGUGAUGAGCCCCUUUGUUGAGCUAUCAUUUAUGGCCAAGUCACUUAUGUAAAAAAGAGCUACUUAGCUUAGUGGAGUCUGACCUGGUAAAAUACAAAAUAAUACUCUUUGGUUCUUUCGGUGAAGUCACGUAGGUGA
Molecule: long non-coding RNA, 1745 nt
Organism: Petromyzon marinus (sea lamprey)
Lineage: Eukaryota; Metazoa; Chordata; Hyperoartia; Petromyzontiformes; Petromyzontidae
Source: RefSeq, a predicted model, not a curated record